This 337-nucleotide small RNA is filed under the name Arabidopsis thaliana (thale cress). Its description in RNAcentral is "ATSL178520". Lineage: Eukaryota; Viridiplantae; Streptophyta; Magnoliopsida; Brassicales; Brassicaceae. The record is from RNAcentral.
CCUCAAAAUAAUUCUCCGCAUAUCAGAUAUAUAUCAACUUAACUGAGAAUAGCGAUUAGUGCAAUAGUUUCAAAUUAAAGAAUGAUGUCCUACAAGUAAACAGCCUAUUAAUUUCUCAGGGACAAAUCUGUCAGUAAACCUCGGAAACAGGCGUUUCGGUAUCUAAAUACAAUCCAAACUUAGUCAUAUGUAGGGUUUACUGUUUAGGUAAGCGAGCGAAAUUAACCGAAAAAGUGUUAUAGCCCAACAUUGUUGCAUUGAUUAUAGCUCAAAACUCAUGAUAAAACCUGUCCCAAGUGUUUGCCAAAAAAAGACAUGUUCCAAGUAAAAUUACUAG